This 234-nucleotide ribosomal RNA is filed under the name uncultured bacterium. RNAcentral describes it as "partial 16S ribosomal RNA". It matches the Rfam family "Bacterial small subunit ribosomal RNA", at positions 104 to 334 of the family's 1533-position model. The record is from RNAcentral.
CGGGACGGGGUGAGUAAUGUCUGGGAAACUGCCUGAUGGAGGGGGAUAACUACUGGAAACGGUAGCUAAUACCGCAUAACGUCGCAAGACCAAAGAGGGGGACCUUCGGGCCUCUUGCCAUCGGAUGUGCCCAGAUGGGAUUAGCUAGUAGGUGGGGUAACGGCUCACCUAGGCGACGAUCCCUAGCUGGUCUGAGAGGAUGACCAGCCACACUGGAACUGAGACACGGUCCAG